GUGAAUCAUCGAAUCUUUGAACGCACCUUGCACCCUUUGGUACUCCGAAGGGUACAUCCGUUUGAGUGUCAUUGUAACCUCACCUCUUUAACUUUUGUUGAUCAGUGUGGAUUUGGACGCUGCUGUGUCAAUGGCUCGUCUGAAAUGCCUGAGUGUACCCUGUUUCGUGGUGUAUUCAGUGUAAUAAACCUUCACUGGAGAUGGUCUUUGAACCACACCUCUUUGACAUGGCUCUAUGCUUCCAACCGUCUUCAUAAGACAAUACUCUGACAAUUUGACCUCAAAUCGGAUGGGACUACCUGCUGAACUUAAGCAUAUCAAUAAGCGGAGGA
RNAcentral lists this unclassified non-coding RNA (332 nucleotides) under Serendipita sp. Its description in RNAcentral is "partial contains 5.8S ribosomal RNA, internal transcribed spacer 2, and large subunit ribosomal RNA". The stretch from base 1 to 71 matches the Rfam family "5.8S ribosomal RNA", at positions 84 to 154 of the family's 154-position model. Lineage: Eukaryota; Fungi; Basidiomycota; Agaricomycetes; Sebacinales; Serendipitaceae. The record is from RNAcentral.